AUUUUUCGACCUAAUUUUUUUUUACAAAAUGAGAUCAGCUCAUCAGUAAACAAAUUAUGUAAUUAACAAAAAAGUUUUUUAAAAAUUGUUUAAGUACCAAACAUAUUAAUUCGAUCAAGAAUAUAAAUUUUAUUUUUCCAUAUGAUAUUUCUUAAAUAAUUUUCAUAUAAAUUCACUUUGCGCAAAGCGCAUGUAUUAUCCUAGUUUGUUAGGAUUUCCAUUUGAUAAAUCGAGCUGAAAUUUGGUUUUUUUUUUUAAGUUUGGAAUUUAAAUAGUCUUAAGAGUUAGCUUUUAUAUGGAAUGGUUUUU
This 309-nucleotide long non-coding RNA is filed under the name Brassica rapa (field mustard). Its description in RNAcentral is "long non-coding RNA (BRAP_LNC001346)". Lineage: Eukaryota; Viridiplantae; Streptophyta; Magnoliopsida; Brassicales; Brassicaceae. The record is from RNAcentral.